This 440-nucleotide ribosomal RNA is filed under the name uncultured bacterium. RNAcentral's name for it is "partial 16S ribosomal RNA". It matches the Rfam family "Bacterial small subunit ribosomal RNA", at positions 338 to 795 of the family's 1533-position model. The record is from RNAcentral.
CCUACGGGAGGCAGCAGUGGGGAAUAUUGCACAAUGGGGGAAACCCUGAUGCAGCGACGUCGCGUGAGUGAUGAAGUAUUUCGGUAUGUAAAGCUCUAUCAGCAGGGAAGAAAAUGACGGUACCUGACGAAGAAGCCCCGGCUAACUACGUGCCAGCAGCCGCGGUAAUACGUAGGGGGCAAGCGUUAUCCGGAUUUACUGGGUGUAAAGGGAGCGUAGACGGGGGUGCAAGUCAGAUGUGAAAGCCCAUGGCUCAACCACGGGACUGCAUUUGGAACUGUUAUGCUAGAGUAUCGGAGAGGCAGGCGGAAUUCCUAGUGUAGCGGUGAAAUGCGUAGAUAUUAGGAGGAAAACUAGUGGCGAAGGCGGCCUGCUGGACGAUGACUGACGUUGAGGCUCGAAAGCGUGGGGAGCAAACAGGAUUAGAUACCCUUGUAGUC